This 765-nucleotide ribosomal RNA is filed under the name uncultured Streptococcus sp. RNAcentral describes it as "bacterial SSU rRNA". It matches the Rfam family "Bacterial small subunit ribosomal RNA", at positions 28 to 776 of the family's 1533-position model. Lineage: Bacteria; Bacillati; Bacillota; Bacilli; Lactobacillales; Streptococcaceae. The record is from RNAcentral.
GAUGAACGCUGGCGGCGUGCCUAAUACAUGCAAGUAGAACGCUGAAGCUUGGUGCUUGCACCGAGCGGAUGAGUUGCGAACGGGUGAGUAACGCGUAGGUAACCUGCCUCUUAGCGGGGGAUAACUAUUGGAAACGAUAGCUAAUACCGCAUAAAAGUCGAUAUCGCAUGAUAUUGAUUUGAAAGGUGCAAUUGCACCACUAAGAGAUGGACCUGCGUUGUAUUAGCUAGUUGGUGAGGUAACGGCUCACCAAGGCGACGAUACAUAGCCGACCUGAGAGGGUGAUCGGCCACACUGGGACUGAGACACGGCCCAGACUCCUACGGGAGGCAGCAGUAGGGAAUCUUCGGCAAUGGGGGCAACCCUGACCGAGCAACGCCGCGUGAGUGAAGAAGGUUUUCGGAUCGUAAAGCUCUGUUGUAAGAGAAGAACGAGUGUGAGAGUGGAAAGUUCACACUGUGACGGUAACUUACCAGAAAGGGACGGCUAACUACGUGCCAGCAGCCGCGGUAAUACGUAGGUCCCGAGCGUUAUCCGGAUUUAUUGGGCGUAAAGCGAGCGCAGGCGGUUAGAUAAGUCUGAAGUUAAAGGCUGUGGCUUAACCAUAGUACGCUUUGGAAACUGUUUAACUUGAGUGCAGAAGGGGAGAGUGGAAUUCCAUGUGUAGCGGUGAAAUGCGUAGAUAUAUGGAGGAACACCGGUGGCGAAAGCGGCUCUCUGGUCUGUAACUGACGCUGAGGCUCGAAAGCGUGGGGAGCAAACAGG